This 117-nucleotide ribosomal RNA is filed under the name Pteropus alecto (black flying fox). Lineage: Eukaryota; Metazoa; Chordata; Mammalia; Chiroptera; Pteropodidae. The record is from RNAcentral.
GGCUAUGGCAUGCCACCCUGAACGUGCCCAAUCUUGUCUGAUCUGGAAGCUAAGCAGGGUCGGGCCUGGUUAGUACUUGGAUGGGAGACCACCUAGGAAUACCAGCUGCUGUAGGCG